UGAGGAAUAUUGGUCAAUGGACGCAAGUCUGAACCAGCCAUGCCGCGUGAAGGAUGAAGGUCCUCUGGAUUGUAAACUUCUUUUAUAAACGAAGAAACCCCGAAUUUCUAUUUGGGUUGACGGUACUUUAUGAAUAAGCACCGGCUAACUCCGUGCCAGCAGCCGCGGUAAUACGGAGGGUGCAAGCGUUAUCCGGAUUCACUGGGUUUAAAGGGAGCGUAGGUGGGUCUGUAAGUCAGUGGUGAAAUCCCCGAGCUUAACUUGGGAACUGCCAUUGAUACUAUGGAUCUUGAAUUCUGUGGAGGUAAGCGGAAUAUAUCAUGUAGCGGUGAAAUGCUUAGAUAUGAUAUAGAACACCGAUAGCGAAGGCAGCUUACUACGCAGCGAUUGACACUGAGGC
This 400-nucleotide ribosomal RNA is filed under the name uncultured bacterium. RNAcentral's name for it is "bacterial SSU rRNA". It matches the Rfam family "Bacterial small subunit ribosomal RNA", at positions 355 to 752 of the family's 1533-position model. The record is from RNAcentral.